Sorex fumeus (smoky shrew) is the source of this 210-nucleotide small nucleolar RNA. RefSeq annotates it as small nucleolar RNA U3. Lineage: Eukaryota; Metazoa; Chordata; Mammalia; Eulipotyphla; Soricidae. The record is from RefSeq and is a predicted model, not a curated record. The transcript has a single exon.
AAGACUAUACUUUCAGACAUUAUUUCUAUAGUUUGUUACUAGAGGAGUUCCUCUUAUCGUGUGAGCACCCAAAAUCACAGGAUAAGGCAGAGCAUCCUCCUGAGUGAGAAGUUGCUUCUAGAUGUUGCUUUUACAGUUGCCCUUUACUAUUGAUGAUUGUUCUUCUCUUCCUUUGGAAGAGGGAGAGGGAGAGGAAGCAGUCUGAGUGGU